ACGCUCGACACCUACGGGAGUCAGCAGUGGGGAAUAUUGCACAAUGGGGGAAACCCUGAUGCAGCGACGCCGCGUGGAGGAAGAAGGUCUUCGGAUUGUAAACUCCUGUUGUUGGGGAAAAAGAGGAUGGUACCCAACAAGGAAGUGACGGCUAACUACGUGCCAGCAGCCGCGGUAAUCUGAGCGGGCUGGCAAGGC
Molecule: ribosomal RNA, 198 nt
Filed under: uncultured bacterium
Lineage: Bacteria
Description: partial 16S ribosomal RNA
Rfam family: Bacterial small subunit ribosomal RNA
Source: RNAcentral